Molecule: long non-coding RNA, 425 nt
Organism: Gadus morhua (Atlantic cod)
Lineage: Eukaryota; Metazoa; Chordata; Actinopteri; Gadiformes; Gadidae
Exons: 2
Source: RefSeq, a predicted model, not a curated record
AAGCUUCCUCUAUAUGGAAAUGACCUGUUUCCACUCAUCAGACUGGGGGUGAGAGUGACUGCAGACGUUCUGGGAGGACCGCUGUAUCUCUUCUACAUUCACACUUUUGGAAUACAAAUUCAGAUUUAAUGGAAACUAUUGGAAUUUAAAAUGCAUAACAUUUUAUCUGGUUGACGCCAAUCCUGUGGGAGUGGUGCAGCCCACGCUGAGCGUCCUCCCUCCCUCCAGAGUGGAGCUGGAGCAGGGCAGUGCUACACUAGUGUGUGUGGCCAGUGGGGGCUUCCCCUCAGACUGGAAGCUUGGCUGGAAGGUGGGGUGCAGCAGCAGGUCUGGGGGGGUGUCUGAUAGCCUGGUGGUCCUGGGGAAAGACGGCCACUACAGCUGGAGCAGCACCUUGACCCUCCCUGCAGACCAGUGGAGGAAGG